This is a long non-coding RNA of Homo sapiens (human), 1102 nucleotides long. RefSeq annotates it as SLC49A3 antisense RNA 1. The transcript is spliced from 2 exons. The record is from RefSeq and is a predicted model, not a curated record. Lineage: Eukaryota; Metazoa; Chordata; Mammalia; Primates; Hominidae.
CCACAGCUGCAGGGGUCAGGCGGGAGUCAGCGCAGGGCCACAGACCCCGGACCUACCUGCUGUGGCCCCAGCCAGCCCGAGGGGGUCAGAGUGCCAGCAGCCCCGUGAGGCCGAGGGGACACAGCGAGCUGGACACGGGGCCUUCCUGCCCAAGGAGAGCGCCACCCUGCCUCCCCCGAGGGCGGGCACCCAGCGCAGGGUCAGAGAGCAUGCCCUGACCGGGGACCAGCCUGGGGGGCAGACACUGAGGCCAAGGACCUGGCCAGAGCCCACAGGACCACGAGCCCUGCCCAGACCAGACCUGGCGCUCCAAGGCAGGGAAAGGUGGGCGUGACGGGGUCUCAGCUAGAACCUCUGGGACUGCAGGCCAGCCCCACCCAAGGCCAGCCUGACCUUCCCUCCUGCAGGGCCCAGGUGUUUGGGCAGAAUGUUGCCAGAGCGGGCACCAUUCCCCAGCCACAGGCAUUAUCAAGUACUAGAGCUCUUCACCCCACGGACGUCCAGCACACAGCACAAGUGCACGCUGCGGCCGAGGGGAAGGCCUCCUAGGAGAGGACGGGGCCAGGCACAGAACGAGCUCCCCAGGCCCAGCUGGUGCCUGCCUGGCCGAGCCCGGGAGAGAAAGCCCACCCUGCGGAGCCGAGCCCGCCGCUCCAGCCUCAGCCCUGUCCUGGUUCCUCGGGGGCCUGAGUGGGGCCCACAGCUGACUCACUGAGAAGAGAUGCGUCUGAAGCGUGCGGGGCAACGUGGGAGGACGAUCUGUCUGACUCCCUUCCUCAUCUCCCAGCCUCGACCCUGCCUGCGCUCGCCCCCUUGGGUCCUUUGAGUCUCAUCCAGAGCACUGGGCUGCCUUCCGGGGUGGGUGUUGACCCAAGCUCUGCUCCGCCUGGCCCUCAUGCUGCUGGUUGGAACCCGGGAUCCCUGGUCACUGGCUGCAGAUGAGUAACCUCCAGCCUCAAGGGCACUUGGCUGGAGUGAACAUGGUGCUUACGGCUCACUGUGGUGACCCAGGCAGAGACCAUGACGACUCUUGGUGUCAGGGUGAGAUUUCUGUGUGCUCCAUGAUGACUCGUGGAUAUUAAUAAAACAGUGAAGAACUGCA